AGUGAACGCUGGCGGUAGGCCUAACACAUGCAAGUCGAACGGCAGCACAGUAAGAGCUUGCUCUUACGGGUGGCGAGUGGCGGACGGGUGAGGAAUACAUCGGAAUCUACUUUUUCGUGGGGGAUAACGUAGGGAAACUUACGCUAAUACCGCAUACGACCUACGGGUGAAAGCAGGGGAUCUUCGGACCUUGCGCGAUUGAAUGAGCCGAUGUCGGAUUAGCUAGUUGGCGGGGUAAAGGCCCACCAAGGCGACGAUCCGUAGCUGGUCUGAGAGGAUGAUCAGCCACACUGGAACUGAGACACGGUCCAGACUCCUACGGGAGGCAGCAGUGGGGAAUAUUGGACAAUGGGCGCAAGCCUGAUCCAGCCAUACCGCGUGGGUGAAGAAGGCCUUCGGGUUGUAAAGCCCUUUUGUUGGGAAAGAAAAGCAGCAGGUUAAUACCCCGCUGUUCUGACGGUACCCAAAGAAUAAGCACCGGCUCACUUCGU
This 491-nucleotide ribosomal RNA is filed under the name uncultured bacterium. RNAcentral's name for it is "partial 16S ribosomal RNA". It matches the Rfam family "Bacterial small subunit ribosomal RNA", at positions 29 to 506 of the family's 1533-position model. The record is from RNAcentral.